AACGAACGCUGGCGGCAGGCCUAACACAUGCAAGUCGAGCGAGCAUUUCGGUGCUAGCGGCGGACGGGUGAGUAACGCGUGGGAACGUGCCCUUUUCUGCGGAAUAGUCCUGGGAAACUGGGGGUAAUACCGCAUACGCCCUUUUGGGGAAAGAUUUAUCGGAGAAGGAUCGGCCCGCGUUGGAUUAGGUAGUUGGUGGGGUAAUGGCCCACCAAGCCGACGAUCCAUAGCUGGUUUGAGAGGAUGAUCAGCCACACUGGGACUGAGACACGGCCCAGACUCCUACGGGAGGCAGCCGUGGGGAAUCUUAGACAAUGGGGGCAACCCUGAUCUAGCCAUGCCGCGUGAGUGAUGAAGGCCUUAGGGUUGUAAAGCUCUUUCAGCUGGGAAGAUAAUGACGGUACCAGCAGAAGAAGCCCCGGCUAACUCCGUG
This 433-nucleotide ribosomal RNA is filed under the name uncultured bacterium. Its description in RNAcentral is "partial 16S ribosomal RNA". It matches the Rfam family "Bacterial small subunit ribosomal RNA", at positions 29 to 507 of the family's 1533-position model. The record is from RNAcentral.